GGCUAUACGACAUUGAAACAACGUUUCUCAUACGAUUAGCGAAGUUAAGCAACGUCAAGCCUUGUCAGUAGCUAGAUGGGUGACUGCUUGGGAAUACCGGGUGAUGUAAG
Molecule: non-coding RNA, 110 nt
Organism: Acanthosepion pharaonis
Lineage: Eukaryota; Metazoa; Mollusca; Cephalopoda; Sepiida; Sepiidae
Source: the annotation of a GenBank genome assembly